GGGUGAUGGGAAUGUGGGGCUGUGUGGGCGGUGGGAAUGUGGGGCGGGGGGUGUCCUCUGGGGGGGGGUGUCCUUUGGGGGGGGGUGUCCUUUGGGGGGGGGCACACAAAGUGCUGGGGGGCAUUGGGUCUGUAGGGACAGCUCAGUUCUUGGGGUCUCCUGACGUCUCGGGGACGACGUGGUCCAUUGGGGCACCCCAAUCCUUGGGGGCGUCUGCGGCCGUGGGGGACACCGAAGUCAGCCAUGGGGAUGUGUGGGUCUAUGGGGACGUGUGGGGCCAUGGGGACAUGUGGGUCUAUGGGGACACCCGAAGUCUUGGGGACAUGUGGGUCCAUGGGGACGUGUGGGUCCAUGGGGGCACCCAAAGUCAUCCGUGGGGACAUGUGGGUCUACGGGGACACCCAAAGUCUUGGGAUAUGUGGGUCUAUGGGGACACCCGAAGUCUUGGGGACAAUGUGGUCCAUAGGGACAUGUGGGUCCAUGGGGACGUGUGGGUCCAUGGGGACGUGUGGGUCCAUGGGGGCGGUUGGGUCCAUGGGGAUAUGUGGGUCUAUGGGGACAUGUGGGUCCAUGGGGACACCCGAAUCAUGGGGACCCCCUAAUCCAUGGGGACACCCAAACCCAUGGGGCCCCCCCCAAUCCAUGGGGACCCCCGCCGUCAUGGGGUCACCCCAAUAUUGAAGACACCCAAACCCAUGGGGACCUCCCUCCCCCCCCCCCCCCAAAUCCAUAGGGACCCCCCCAAUCCUUGGGGACCCCCCCCAACCCAUUGGGACCCCCCCAGUUUGAAGACACCCAACUCAACGGGACCUAUGGGGGUCCUCCCGCACCCCCCCCCCCCCCCCAUCUCCUCCACCCAAAGGAUGAGGGGGGGGGAGGGGGGAGGAGGGGGCGGUUUCACCCCAUGGGGUCACUGUUGACGAUCGCAGUGGGGCGGCCGGGAGGGGGGGGGUGGGGGUGGGACCCCCCCCGGGUGGGAAAACAGGCGGUGCCCUUUUGGCUCUGUUCGCACACCAAAACAAACCCCAACUGACAUCAAAACGGCCACGAGGAAUGCGGCCCCCCCCUCCCCCCCCCCACAUAUGGGGCUUCAAGGGGAUGGUGGGGGGGAGGGGGAGGGGGGGGGGGGGCGCUGGGUUCGAUUUGUUGGGGGGGUUGGCGCGGAUUGGGGGGGUCCCAAUGGGUUGG
RNAcentral lists this long non-coding RNA (1188 nucleotides) under Gallus gallus (chicken). Its description in RNAcentral is "lncRNA (ENSGALG00010000182.1)". The record is from RNAcentral. Lineage: Eukaryota; Metazoa; Chordata; Aves; Galliformes; Phasianidae.